Molecule: ribosomal RNA, 440 nt
Filed under: uncultured bacterium
Lineage: Bacteria
Description: partial 16S ribosomal RNA
Rfam family: Bacterial small subunit ribosomal RNA
Source: RNAcentral
CCUACGGGAGGCAGCAGUAGGGAAUAUUCCGCAAUGGAGGAAACCCUGAUGCAGCGACGCCGCGUGAGUGAAGAAGGAAUUCGUUAUGUAAAGCUCUAUCAGCAGGGAAGAACAUGACGUUACCUGAGUGAGAAGCCCCGGCUAACUACGUGCCAGCAGCCGCGGUAUUACGUAGGGGGCAAGCGUGAUCCGGAUGUACUGGGGGUAAAGGGAGCGGGGGCGGCAGUGCAAGUCUGGAGUGAAAGGCGGGGGCUCAACCGCCGGACUGCACUGGAAACUGUACGGCUGGAGUGCAGGAGAGGGAAGUGGAAUUCCUAGUGUAGCGGUGAAAUGCGUAGAUAUGAGGAGGAACACCAGUGGCGAAGGCGAGUUACUGGACUGUAACUGACGUUGAGGCUCGAAAGCGUGGGGAGCAAACAGGAUUAGAUACCCCAGUAGUC